AUCUUCUUCAGAGGUCUUCUUCCAAAGUUAAAAAUGGCGUCAAAUUCGUCCUCGAUAAGUAACGUUAAAGUUGGCGAAUUACCCGCCUAUUUACAGAAGGCAAAGUUAGGGAAGAUUCCCAGUGGUUUCUUGGGCAUGGUAUCUCGCUAUCAGCAGAAAUAUAUCCUUUGUAAGAACGGAAGAUUUACACCAUUUUUCCAUGUUGCCGGCCUUUGUAUGUUUGUGAAUUACUGGAUCGAAUAUAAGCAUUUGAAGCACACCAGUAUGUGGCGAAAGUACCAUUAAUAGUGUGAAGAAGAACAUGCAGACAUGCAGGGAAACAUUUGAACAGUUUUGAUGGUCGUUUUCUAAAGUUUUAAAAGAACUGAUGUUAAGAAACAGAAUCAUGUCUUGUUUGAAGAAUCAUUAAAUUAUGGCUUUAUUUUCGAU
Long non-coding RNA from Dendronephthya gigantea, 429 nucleotides. RefSeq lists it as uncharacterized. The record is from RefSeq and is a predicted model, not a curated record. Lineage: Eukaryota; Metazoa; Cnidaria; Anthozoa; Malacalcyonacea; Nephtheidae. The transcript has 2 exons.